This 1441-nucleotide ribosomal RNA is filed under the name Lacticaseibacillus rhamnosus. Its description in RNAcentral is "bacterial SSU rRNA". It matches the Rfam family "Bacterial small subunit ribosomal RNA". The record is from RNAcentral. Lineage: Bacteria; Bacillati; Bacillota; Bacilli; Lactobacillales; Lactobacillaceae.
UGCAGUCGAACGAGUUCUGAUUAUUGAAAGGUGCUUGCAUCUUGAUUUAAUUUUGAACGAGUGGCGGACGGGUGAGUAACACGUGGGUAACCUGCCCUUAAGUGGGGGAUAACAUUUGGAAACAGAUGCUAAUACCGCAUAAAUCCAAGAACCGCAUGGUUCUUGGCUGAAAGAUGGCGUAAGCUAUCGCUUUUGGAUGGACCCGCGGCGUAUUAGCUAGUUGGUGAGGUAACGGCUCACCAAGGCAAUGAUACGUAGCCGAACUGAGAGGUUGAUCGGCCACAUUGGGACUGAGACACGGCCCAAACUCCUACGGGAGGCAGCAGUAGGGAAUCUUCCACAAUGGACGCAAGUCUGAUGGAGCAACGCCGCGUGAGUGAAGAAGGCUUUCGGGUCGUAAAACUCUGUUGUUGGAGAAGAAUGGUCGGCAGAGUAACUGUUGUCGGCGUGACGGUAUCCAACCAGAAAGCCACGGCUAACUACGUGCCAGCAGCCGCGGUAAUACGUAGGUGGCAAGCGUUAUCCGGAUUUAUUGGGCGUAAAGCGAGCGCAGGCGGUUUUUUAAGUCUGAUGUGAAAGCCCUCGGCUUAACCGAGGAAGUGCAUCGGAAACUGGGAAACUUGAGUGCAGAAGAGGACAGUGGAACUCCAUGUGUAGCGGUGAAAUGCGUAGAUAUAUGGAAGAACACCAGUGGCGAAGGCGGCUGUCUGGUCUGUAACUGACGCUGAGGCUCGAAAGCAUGGGUAGCGAACAGGAUUAGAUACCCUGGUAGUCCAUGCCGUAAACGAUGAAUGCUAGGUGUUGGAGGGUUUCCGCCCUUCAGUGCCGCAGCUAACGCAUUAAGCAUUCCGCCUGGGGAGUACGACCGCAAGGUUGAAACUCAAAGGAAUUGACGGGGGCCCGCACAAGCGGUGGAGCAUGUGGUUUAAUUCGAAGCAACGCGAAGAACCUUACCAGGUCUUGACAUCUUUUGAUCACCUGAGAGAUCAGGUUUCCCCUUCGGGGGCAAAAUGACAGGUGGUGCAUGGUUGUCGUCAGCUCGUGUCGUGAGAUGUUGGGUUAAGUCCCGCAACGAGCGCAACCCUUAUGACUAGUUGCCAGCAUUUAGUUGGGCACUCUAGUAAGACUGCCGGUGACAAACCGGAGGAAGGUGGGGAUGACGUCAAAUCAUCAUGCCCCUUAUGACCUGGGCUACACACGUGCUACAAUGGAUGGUACAACGAGUUGCGAGACCGCGAGGUCAAGCUAAUCUCUUAAAGCCAUUCUCAGUUCGGACUGUAGGCUGCAACUCGCCUACACGAAGUCGGAAUCGCUAGUAAUCGCGGAUCAGCACGCCGCGGUGAAUACGUUCCCGGGCCUUGUACACACCGCCCGUCACACCAUGAGAGUUUGUAACACCCGAAGCCGGUGGCGUAACCCUUUUAGGGAGCGAGCCGUCUAA